GAUGAACGCUGGCGGCGUGCCUAAUACAUGCAAGUCGAGCGAACAGACGAGGAGCUUGCUCCUCUGACGUUAGCGGCGGACGGGUGAGUAACACGUGGAUAACCUACCUAUAAGACUGGGAUAACUUCGGGAAACCGGAGCUAAUACCGGAUAAUAUAUUGAACCGCAUGGUUCAAUAGUGAAAGACGGUUUUGCUGUCACUUAUAGAUGGAUCCGCGCCGCAUUAGCUAGUUGGUAAGGUAACGGCUUACCAAGGCAACGAUGCGUAGCCGACCUGAGAGGGUGAUCGGCCACACUGGAACUGAGACACGGUCCAGACUCCUACGGGAGGCAGCAGUAGGGAAUCUUCCGCAAUGGGCGAAAGCCUGACGGAGCAACGCCGCGUGAAUGAUGAAGGUCUUCGGAUCGUAAAACUCUGUGAUUAGGGAAGAACAAAUGUGUAAGUAACUAUGCACGUCUUGACGGUACCUAAUCAGAAAGCCACGGCUAACUACGUG
This 497-nucleotide ribosomal RNA is filed under the name uncultured bacterium. RNAcentral's name for it is "partial 16S ribosomal RNA". It matches the Rfam family "Bacterial small subunit ribosomal RNA", at positions 28 to 507 of the family's 1533-position model. The record is from RNAcentral.